CAACAAUGUCAGACAGCAGACUCCACACAUUUUCUGCAUUUUGUAAUUCAUAAUGCAGUAUAAACAUUGCUCUAUACUCUCAUGCAUUUUCUAUCUAAUUACUCAUACAAGAACAAUGUGUAUAAUUCUUCAUGAAUGCAUUAUAAAAAGUUGGGAAUGUAUUCGUAGUUUAUUCAGAAUCCACAUGGCUUUGUUGAAAAUGUUAGCCAUUUUUAAAAAUCUGAUUAUGGAUUUAUGACUCAUAAAUUUCUCAUUAUUGCAUUCAAGAAAGAAUGAUUAGUUCAUCAGUUAUAGAAAUAUAACUCCAGAGACACACGUUCUCCAACCUCUGUGUGUGUGUGUGUGUGUGUGUGUGUGUGUGUGUGUGUGUGUGUGUGUGUGUGUGUGUUCGUUCUUUGGAAAUUUUAACAAGCUCCAACGAAUGAAUCCAAAAACAGUGAAUCGUUCUGGGGUUGUUGUUUUUUUUUCCUCUUGUCCUGCAGAAAUAAUUUAUUGCGUGUAUUUCUCUGAAUCAUCCCUGAAUCAUUCAGUUCCAGGAAAGAGUCAUCCAGUUCUACAAUACUGAACAGAACUUCCUGAAAGGCUGACGGGCCAUUUUUCAACGUUCUGACCCGAGCGCGGAUCAGAAGCUCAACAUCUGCCUACCUGCCUCUGGAUCUUUCUCCUCCUCUGCUCGGGCGCUCUGGGAUUUUCCAUGCUCAUGCCCUCCAGGGGUUAUGGAUUUGAGGGGAGGUGUGGGGGCUGUUCAGGGGAACCGCACGGCCGCAGGUAGCACAGACCAGGUCUUUCAGCCUCGCCUUCGCCCUCACUGACCCACAGCGCGCCUCAGCACCGGGACGUCUAAAGCAUUCCUUCCGUCUCGGAUGUAGAAACUUCGACCCGUGCGUUUGCGUCCCAAGUAGCAUAAUUACUGCUGACUGAGACUUGACUCUGAACAGAACGACGAGGGGCUGAAGGAACAGCUGUUUAUAGCUGCUAUAACUUCUUUCACGAAUGUUCCACAACAUUACAUUACAUAUUAAAUGCAUAAAAAGUAUGUCAUGUUCUUUAAUCGUUCUUUUGUUAUGCUCUCAAAGCCACAUCCGGCAACUUCUCCCACCGUCUUACGUCCUAACAUCAUACCAUAACAUCAUGACAUGCUCCUACAGUAUCGAGGUUGGUGCGUUUUGAUUCCUCAAGCCAAAAUGUUCGACAGAAACCAAAUGAAACCAUAAAAACAAGACGGGCGAAUGUUAAUGAGCUGAUUUGCAUGUUAAACAUAGAUACAGCAAUCAGAAUUGACUACAAGUGGAAACCUACUCGGUUGAAAUCCAAGCAGAAUCCAAUCCGUGUAUAUGUACAUAAGCUCUUAGACACUUCAGCUACCUCGCUUUCGAAUAGUCCACUAACAUGUACAGUAUCGUCGUGUUAAGUAUCGGGAAUCUGACCGCAGACGAUUACUCAGAAACGCCGGUUCUGCGGAGUAAAGACGAUCGUUCGCUUCGAGGCACUUUGUGCUCUCCCGCGGUUACUCACUCGUCUGUGUUUAUCGUUUAUCACUGAAUCCAUUCCCUCCCUCAAGUCUGAUAAAACCCAGAGUAGGGAUUAGAAGACGACGGCAAAGACAAACGCAUUUCCUGAACAUUUCAUUUGUCCGCGUCAUCUCGGCCGAACGUAUAAGUCUCUUUGCCGGAGAGGAGAAAAAAAAAAAAAACGCUUUAAAAUUAAAAAAAAUUUUCAUUUAACGUUGAUCGAUUUGAGCAACUUGACGGAUUUCAAUUUGCAGCUACAGAGAUCUGGGUGGUUUCUAUUUAUUUAUUUAUUUAUUUUACCCAGAAGAUUAACUGGUUGAAUAACGCCAUCAUAAUCGCUGAUUCCGAACACCGUGAAACAAUGCUAGCUACAGCAGCUUGCUUUAUCUAUGCUAGUAAAUCGGUUUUAAAAGAGAGAGGGAAAAAAAAUUCACUUUUAAUUCCUUUGUAUGUGGAAAGAAGUAGCUGUGAACUCACAGCAUGAACGUACAAUCCGUUUGAUAAUAAAUCCUCACUUCGCGGAGGACGUUCCGCCCGUUUAUGAUCGAAAUGAAAAGUCACUUCUAGCCAUUUCUUUCGAAUGAAGCGUAUUCGCAAGCUUUGAAAGCGUAUGGCUCGGACGAGUGUCUGUAGAACUCUUUCGUUGCGGUUUGUUCGUCAUGAGGUGUGCUACUGAAUGUUGUUACGAUCCAACAUUGCUGGAUCUAUAAGUGAAUCUGCAUGUUAGUGUAGUAGGUCGAGGAGGAACGUGCGUGUCUUUGAUCCUGUAUCAAGGUGAAGAGUAAAACCGAGCUGCACGGUCGAUCGAUUCUGCGAGGGUCGGGGUUCAAACGACCUCGAUCGUUUAGCGAGUCGCUGGCAACUGCGGAAAGGAAAGACUCCCUGAGAUGAUACGAGGAGGAAACCUUGAGAGGAACCGGACUCGGAAGGGAUAGUCAUCUGGAUAGUGUGAAAGUAAAAGAAAGUGCGUUAUGGUGUUUAUAUGAAGUCUGUUUGGUGAACUAGUCCACUGAAUUCUAAAGGAGACCUGAGUGCAAAACUGUAUGUGGUAACUGCAGUCCCAAGGACAUCGCUAAGGCAACCGUAGUUCCAGUACAACAGUGAGAAUGUACAUGAGGUCCAAAACCAUUACCAUGCUACUUCAAGCGGUACCGUCCUCGGCGAUCUCCAUGCUGUACCCUCCAGCCGAUGAGAGCUCCAUCCAGGAGUAGGGCAUCAGGAUGGAUCAGGCAGGUCCGGAGAGCAGAAAGGGUCAGGAUCACUGCCAUCUCCAUAAUAUCAUGUGUAGCUCGACAGAAGGAGAGAGGGAGAGGGAGGUAAAGAGAAGGAGCGAUUGUUAGGUAUGCUUUCUAUCCAGUAAUGGAUACAGCUGUAUGCUUCGCGUAAAAGACAAAGAACAAAUGAUUUAAGCAGACGUUAAUAUCACGGCUUUCUUUUUCCUUUCGGGACACUCUCACACACGACACACCGAUUUAAUUUAAAAAAUUUAUAGCAAAUAGGAAUGGUUUUUGGCUCAUUUCUGGACCUUAUUGAGCAUUUUCGGAUCAUUUUCCCCGAAGUCAAAUGCGUCUCACGUCUAUCGAACAUAAUUCAUCUUCGCAGCCGUCUGAGAACGAAGGAGACGUGCAAACAUGAACGGGUCCUUUUACUUUGUUAUUAUUGUUAAAUCGAUUCAAAACCAAAACUCGGUUUAACGUUCUUAAAUAUUAUUUCAGCGAUUUAGUGGUGUUACGUAUGUGGCCGUACCUAAAAAUACCAUCUAACCAGCACGGCCGAGCAGACAGUCCUAAUUCUUUAAUUAAAGACGAGAGUAUAGUUUAGGUUUUUAUAUAUAUUUAUAUAUAUACACAGGAUCCCAUAAACACAAAGAAUUAAAGGCUCGUAGUCUGGUAAUGACAUCACAGUGCUGAGUGGUGAGUAACCCAAUCUGGGAGGAGGCGACAGUUUACCGACCAGGAGACGAGGGAAACCAUGUGGGAGUUGGCGUCCGUCCUGGUACGUCCCUGGUGCCGAGGAAAAGCAAACAAAUGAAAGAGUUUAAAGACGCUUCAACAGCAGUCGUUUUAAAAAAAAAUCCUGUGCACUUCGUGUUAUAAUUAGCUUCAUUAUUCUUCUGUUAUCAAGGCCUUCAAUUUCUGGUGUUUUCCCUUGACUGGUCUGAGAUGGGCGGAGCUAAAUAGAGCGUCCUUGUAAUGUAACUUCUUGUACACAUAUUGAAUUAUCUAUGAAAGAAGCAGGAAUUAGCCAAGAAGCAUUUAACAGUUGCCUCUUUGUUGUUUGUUUGGAUUUGGGUGGGUGUGUGUGUGUGUGUGUGUGUGUGUGUGUGUCUGGAGGGGGCGUUUGAUCACAGUGGACCUUCCAAAGUUUUCAGAAAAGCUCAAAAGAAUUCAAAUUAGCACUGAAUCUUUCCGAGUAGCUUCUGGAAUAAAACUGGAAUGUCCUCGAGUCCUUACGUUUUUUCAUCUCGUUGACUUCAAGUAAGAGAAUAAAGAGAAGAUGCUGAGGGAAAGGGUCCUCACCAUCCAUCUCCCUGAAGAUCAAGCUCCACCCGUUCACCUCCAUCGUGAUCCCUACAGCCAUCCACGCCAGCGAGACUUGGAAGGCAUCAACGAGUAUCAAUAAGAAUCUCGAUAUCUUCCAGCAGAGGUGCCUACGCUGCAUGCUAAAGAUCCGAUACUACGACCAAUAUCACUGACGAAGAGGUGCUCCGAAGAAGUGGCGCAUGCGAACUCCACAACGUCGUCAUACGAAGUAGACUCCGACUGGCCGGCCACGUCCUUCACGCGGAGAACAGACGGAUCCCAAAGACCGCAGUGAGAUGGCGCCAGUGAGAGGGAUCUAAACGGCAUCGAGGAAGUCCCAGGAAAACCUGGAGAAGCACUUUCAUACAAGUUCUGAAGGUCGCAUAUCGCACGGGGCGACGCCGAAACGCUCGCCAGAGAUCGAAAACGCAGGAGAAAAACUGCUCAGUAAAUAUUCUACUUAGCAUAGGAUGGUCCAAGUCUAAUUACAGCCGAUGUAUCGUUAUAAUGUUUCUUGGACGUUCUACAAGAUUAAAUGUAACUGUAAAUGGAUAAAAAGUAUUAUGUGUCUCUUUAAUAGAUAAGAAAUUUUAACUGUUGGCAAACUGCUUUGGUAUAUAAGAGGAUAUAUAAAACACUUCAGGAUGUGCUGUCAAAGGAACAUAAUCAGCUUUAGCGUGCUAACAGUAACUCUUGCUCUUGCUCGCUAAACGCUUUUGUAUUCGAUCGCUGUGGUUAAAAACGAGCUCCGUCGAUUGUAUCAUUUCAAUGGAAAAUUCCGCUGCACGCUGUGAAAGUUAUCCGCCUGAUCCGGCGUCCCAGGUCCGUUUUCGUUCGUUUGUCAGAUAAUUUAACAUCGGUGUCCUAUUUACACUGUUAUUCUGCUCCAUCCAGGGGCGCGUCUCGGUUCAAAUCCCCAAACGUCUGAAUUUCACAAUCCACAAUCACAAGAUUUCACAAUCACAAAAAGUCUGUUGUGUUAUUAAAGCAGUCUCAGGGCGUCCUCUUCGUACUCCGUCCCGGGAUGACGAUCAGAAUCUGGUCGUCGUCCUGCCUCGGGUGAUCGUCCAGAGGAAUUUUGGGUCAUGACAUACUAUAGCUACAUUACAAAACGAGGAGGGUUAGGCAAGGACACAGGAGCAGCUGUGUUUGGUGUGGCAGGAAUGUGCGUCCAUCCUCUAACUUAUUUACUCUUUUAACAAUGUCACAAUCCGACAUUUAUCCUAGUGAUAAACGCAUAGAUGCAGUCCUCCAUCACUACAACUGCAUCCGAUGUGGGUGGCCUUCAGGUUUGAUCCCAUUUCACACAUUGUGACCUGACUAAGACUUUUUUGACACAUAUUUUCAGUAUCACUUUGAGGCUUCUAUCUGCACCUAUUUAGCAUGUCGUAGCCUUAAGGCAUGAUUCAGUCCUAUAUAAUAUGCUGCGAUGUGUCGUUUUACCCCAGCAUAUAUGAUAUAUCGAUAUAAACUUGAAAUGUUUUUAAGUGUCACUUUGAGGCAUGAUCAAGGCCUAUUUCGAAUGUUUUCAUACAACAGUUUGAGGAAGUAUAAACGCCUAUUUAAUAUUUUUUACGCAUCGCUUGGACAUAGUUACGUGUCACGUUGUGGCGUGACCGACUCGUGCGGCCGCGACCGCUACUUCCUGUCAUUUUGCAUGUCGGCAGCAGACACGUGGAGGGCGACUUUAUUGUUUAUCUUGUGAAGUAGGUGGAAACGGCGGCAGCAUGACCGACGGAGACGGUACACUAGGCUAUUGAACAAAUCUCGCCGGUGCUGAUGUGACGUCACAUCUACAGCUACUGCAGCUCCCUCGACAUUUACAUCGGUAAUGCACCGUGUAGCCGGUCAGCGUUAACUUCUGAACACAUGCCCGAGUGAUGCAGGAUACACGCGGCAGCCGUCUUGCCUAGAUGCGAAUGUAGUUCAAAGUAAGAAUAACACAGGCUUUAGUGACACGUUGUUUAUGCUUCACACAGCGUGAUGAAUGUCUACAUGUGGAGUCAUCUGCGUAUUUAUGAAAGGACAAGACGUAUUCCGAGCCGUUUAUUGCCCCUUUGGCGUCCCAACACAGGUAAGCCCACGUAAUUGCUCACGCCUCAUUGUGAAACUGUAGCUAACUGCACGAACCAACAGCUAAAUUACGCCGUUUAACCGGUGCAACUCACUCCUGAGACUUGUUCCACAUGAUAUAAUAUAGUUAGUUAGUUACAUUUAUAUGGAAAUUUUUUCUAGACACUCAAAGCGCUUUACAUAGUAUGAAGGGGGAGGGGUCUCCUCAACAACCACUAGUUUGCACUAGUAGGCUAUUAAUGGAGAGCAGAGAGAGAUGUAGCCAAUUCAGAGAUGGAGAUUAUUAGGUGGCCAUGAUAGAGAAGGACCAAUGGGGGAAUUUCGCCAGGACGCCGGGGUUCUACCCCGACUCUUUUACAAUAAGUGUCCUGGGAUUUUUAACGACAGAGAGUCAUUAAAACAGAGACAGAGAGUCAGGACCUCGGUUUAACGUCUCAUCUGAAAGACGGUGCUGUUUUUACAGUAUAGUGUCCCCGUCACUAUACUGGGGCAUUAGGACCCACACAGACCACAGGGUGAGCGCCCCCUGCUGGCCUCACUAAUAACUAUUGUAACGCAUUACAAUAGCUAUGUUUCCAUCCAAGUUGCGAAUUUCCCUGGCAAAAAAGUGUGAAAAGCUGAAAUAUCGUAUAAAUCGUUUGCGAAUAAAACAAAUGAUUCAAGAGAACAAAAUCGUCACUAUCUGGGGAAACUGGCGCGUCUUAAUCUCCGGCAUUUUUACUUUUCCGCAGCCUAUGAUUGGUUGAGGCAAAGUCACAUGACUUUUAUGAUGCACAUCUUACGUCUUUGUUUGGUUUGAUCCCGUGAUUUUGAAGUGCCUAAUUAGCGGUGGAUUAAUUAGAAUGGAUUAUGAUUAGAUAUGAUUAUUACUUGUUACAUAGAAAAACUGUGCAAUAAAGUGUUCUCCACAUCAAAUUAUAUGACGAUAGACCUGCGAUUAAAGAAAAUGACAACGUUCUGCGUACGUCGAACUCCCGUAACCCACGGUGCAAGAAUUUUAUUUCGCUUUAAAGGACUGCGUGAGGAAUUUCUUAAGAAGCGGGCAGGAGUAGGAUUUUUUUUUUUUUUUUUUUUAAUUUUCAUCUCACGCACAGUUGUAGAACUCUGAGCUACACCAUUCAGCGUCGGCUGCCUUUUCCCAGCCGUUUUCAGUCCGAGGUUGUAAGACUUCUUAGAUGUGCCUUUAUGAACACACACUCACACUCACACACAUGUGUGCUGGCUCCAGGAGCUGAGAGAUGGAUGGGGAACCCGGGGGAACAGGACAUACCUUGGCAGCACCAUGAUGGCGACGUGAGCGGAGUGAGGCCUCCUGCACACCUGAUCACAUACUGAGACCCCCAAGAGGAAAAGCCGCAAAAACGAAAGCAUGGCUUCGUGCAGGAGAGUACUUUUCCACUUGGGUGUAUUUUUAAAGGUCUAUGUUGCAGAAAAGGCAGUAAUGGUUUGAAGUAAUAAGUGAUGUACAGGGGUGGGUGAUAAGCUGUUUCUACUCGAAAUUAUUGUUAUUGCUGUUUUAAAAAAUGUAGAAAAAUCAUACCUGCAACAUCUCAAAUAAACAUCAUCGUUAAUUAUCGUAUUGUCACAUUGCCCAGCUCUAGUGGUGUAUUACUUUUAAGUUUUAUACACACUCUUAAACACAUUCGAAACCUUAAAUGUUCUGAGCAGUACCAUAAAGCAAAAUGUUUUCCAACCAGAAAGAGUCACGAGCAGAAGCUCGGAAAAAUCCAUCAGACCCUUAAAGAUCCCUUAAAGAACCCUUACUUCUAGGAGUGUGGGUGUUAACUGGGUAAGUGUGUGUGUGUGUGUGUGGUGUUACAAACUCCAAAUUAUCGCUCUUUAUUUUCUUCGUAAGACCUAGAACCUGCCAGGUUGUUUAUUUAGUUCUUAGUACUUUGUACAUGUGUAAAAAAAUUAAUAAAUAAAUACAUAAAUAAAUAAAUAAAUAAAUAAAUAAAUACGAUUCUUCAGGUGUUCUUUGAAAAUUCACUGAAUAAUCGAGUCCUUAUCCUCUUAAAAGGGUUAUACGUGAAACCUUUUCGGAUUUUUUACGGCAUUUGGUAGACGCCCUUAUCCAGAGCGAAUGACAUUUAUCUCACUUACACAUCUGAGAUGUUGAGGGCCUUGCUCAAGGGCCAAACAGUGACAGCUUGGAGGAGCUGGGAUCUGAACUCACGACCUGCUGGUCAGUAGACCAACGCCUUAACUAUCGAGCUAACAGUUCUACAUGCGCUGUAGAAGCUGUAAUGGUUGAAUCAGAGUAUCGACGCUUAAGGGUUCUAAACGUUUAUUUAGUAUAUGCAUUGAUAAUUGGACUAAUAUCUGGAUCGACCUUGUAGCUCUGUUAGAUUUAAAGGUUUAGAGGAAACCAAAAGAAGCCAAAAAUAAUCCCAGUUUUAACACUGUGUCCUUUUCCUAUUGCUGACAUUUUCAUACUUCUCAAAUAAAUCAAACAUUCAAGGGAUUUUUUUUUUUUUUAAAGCCCCUGUUAUUUUUACAUGGAGUUAAAGGUCGAGUGAAGGGCAGGGAACUUUCAAAACCCUGUUCAUGCUGGCAGCUGCACGAACAUAUUUAUGCGGUCACAUCUCCAUGUUGUUUCUAUAAGAUGCAUUUAAAGCAAAUAAAUUGUAAAUAUUAAGUUAUUCUGCCUAACGUCUCACCUCAGCUGAGGCUAAAAACAGCGUCGUGACCUCAGAGCCGCUCGCUGCUGCUUUCAGACAUAAACACAGCCAUCAUCCGCGGUGAAAAGACCCGCAGGUCAGACACAGGGAGUUCUUUAAGUUUCGCAGAGUUCAGGAGUUUUGUCGAGUGGGAGCACGGUGCAGUUUUCAGCACUCGGAGCAGGGUGGAGGAAAUCCAAGUCUUAAAGGCAAAAAGAUCAACAGGGAAAAAGUCAGGCGAAUCAUCAGUAGCACGUUCCAGCAAGUUCAAAUGAUUUGUAACUCUAUAAACUAUAAUAACAGAAUUUUCUGAUCGUUCCACCUGUGUAACAUUUAAAGAGGCUCAAAUAUUUGUCCAUAUUUGAUGGAGCUCCCAAGCAAAUGGAAAGUUUUUUUUAAAGUUCCAAACUCUCCCCUGCGUACCUACAGCCAAAAAAUUUGAGAAGCACCAAUCACGCUAGCGGAUCAUUAAGUUUACCAAAAAUAUCAACUUUUCCAAAAAGGCAACAUGUCAAAUUAAACACAACAUAUUAGACAGAGCAUCAGAUCCGAACAAGCAACUUAUCCCAAGUAACUAAUGCAGUAAAAACUCUUUAUCUUAAGUAACAUCAAAAAACCGUAAGCAACUUGUUAAAAGCUUAUCUCAAGAAAGUUGUUAAAGACAAUUUAUCCUAAGUAGACUAUAAAGAAAAACAUCCCAGGCAAUUCAUUAAAAAAAAUAAUAAUCCCAACUUAUCCUGAGCAAAAAAAAAUAUCUCAAGAAACUUAGGAGGAAAAAAACAGUUUAGCCCAAAAACCCUCAAAGAAAACCAAUAUAUCCCAAGCAGCAUAUCAAAGAAAAACAACUAAUCACAGGCAACUUAUCGAAGAAAACCAAACUUAUCUGAGCAAUGUAUAAAAGGUAAACAACUUAUCCCCAACUAUUUAUAAAGGGCAAACAACUUAUCCCCAACAACUUAUAAAAGACAAGCAACUUAUCCCGAGAAACUUAUAAAAUGCAAAAGACUUAUCCCCAACAACUUAUAAAAGACAAGCGACUUAUCCCCAACAACUUAUAAAAGACAAGCAACUUAUCCCCAACAACCUAUAAAAGACAAGCAACUUAUCCCCAACAACUUAUAAAAGACAAGCAACUUAUCCCCAACAACUUAUAAAAGACAAGCAACUUAUCCCCAAAAACUUAUAAAAG
Molecule: long non-coding RNA, 9955 nt
Organism: Ictalurus punctatus (channel catfish)
Lineage: Eukaryota; Metazoa; Chordata; Actinopteri; Siluriformes; Ictaluridae
Source: Ensembl